RNAcentral lists this ribosomal RNA (390 nucleotides) under Bacillus siamensis. Its description in RNAcentral is "bacterial SSU rRNA". It matches the Rfam family "Bacterial small subunit ribosomal RNA", at positions 1027 to 1418 of the family's 1533-position model. Lineage: Bacteria; Bacillati; Bacillota; Bacilli; Caryophanales; Bacillaceae. The record is from RNAcentral.
CAGAGUGACAGGUGGUGCAUGGUUGUCGUCAGCUCGUGUCGUGAGAUGUUGGGUUAAGUCCCGCAACGAGCGCAACCCUUGAUCUUAGUUGCCAGCAUUCAGUUGGGCACUCUAAGGUGACUGCCGGUGACAAACCGGAGGAAGGUGGGGAUGACGUCAAAUCAUCAUGCCCCUUAUGACCUGGGCUACACACGGGCUACAAUGGGCAGAACAAAGGGCAGCGAAACCGCGAGGUUAAGCCAAUCCCACAAAUCUGUUCUCAGUUCGGAUCGCAGUCUGCAACUCGACUGCGUGAAGCUGGAAUCGCUAGUAAUCGCGGAUCAGCAUGCCGCGGUGAAUACGUUCCCGGGCCUUGUACACACCGCCCGUCACACCACGAGAGUUUGUAAC